GGAGCGGAUGCGGCCUUCGGCGGCGGCGGCGGCGGCAACGAUACACCACCGUCAGAGGCAGGCACCGUCUCAAA
This 74-nucleotide unclassified non-coding RNA is filed under the name Cyanidioschyzon merolae strain 10D. RNAcentral describes it as "intervening sequence". Lineage: Eukaryota; Rhodophyta; Bangiophyceae; Cyanidiales; Cyanidiaceae. The record is from RNAcentral.